AUCGCUUCUCAGCCUUUUGGCAAAGAUAAAGUGUAGUAUCUGUUCUUAUCACUUUAAAAUUGAGAAGGCAUACAUAGAAAAAUGAAGACACAGUAU
Small nuclear RNA from Lynx canadensis (Canada lynx), 96 nucleotides. Its record names the gene U2. It matches the Rfam family "U2 spliceosomal RNA". Rfam says of the family: U2 is a small nuclear RNA (snRNA) component of the spliceosome (involved in pre-mRNA splicing). Lineage: Eukaryota; Metazoa; Chordata; Mammalia; Carnivora; Felidae. The record is from Ensembl.